GCCAGCAGCUCAGUUAAGAGUGGGAUUUAAUAUCAAAUAAACCUCAUGAAUCAGAACUUAUUUAAAAUCAUUCAGAUUUGACUUUCUAAUUUCUUUCUUGGGUAGGAAAGCCACUUGGAAGCUUUUCCAAGAGCAAGGAGCAAAAUGGUUUUUUACCCAUUGACAAAGAUGUCUUUUGUAAGAUGCAGCAACGCUCUGCUUUAGGACACGUCGCUUUAAGCUGUGAAUCACUGUCUUUUUAAAGACUGAAGAGGAGAUGUUAGUGAUCUGCUGCAUGUCCCCAAGCCAGCAGGGAGAGGCGGCUGCUUUCUGAGCAGCGGCAGCCAGGGACUCUGCUGGAAGGUGCAUGAACUGCACAGGAAACAAAUGUGAGGUGGUUCGAGAGCUGGAGGUGCUGAGAGUAAGAGGACAUCAGAGAUCUUCUCAAGCAUCCUCUGGGGAAUCUUCCAAGAUUCUCUGUCUUUCAAGAAAAAGGAAAGAAAGACUUGUUAGAUAGCGCUUUUCAUCACAGAUGGACCUCAUAACUGGAAGAGGGGACCUCCAGGGAUUGGUUUGUGUAAACUUGACAACCACGGGUGCACCUAUUGCUGAACACCCUCUGCAAAGUGAUGAGGGCUUUUUUCUGUGUUUCCCUCAAAAUAAGUAAAUA
Molecule: long non-coding RNA, 649 nt
Filed under: Coturnix japonica (Japanese quail)
Lineage: Eukaryota; Metazoa; Chordata; Aves; Galliformes; Phasianidae
Description: lncRNA (ENSCJPG00005002828.1)
Source: RNAcentral